RNAcentral lists this ribosomal RNA (486 nucleotides) under uncultured bacterium. Its description in RNAcentral is "partial 16S ribosomal RNA". It matches the Rfam family "Bacterial small subunit ribosomal RNA", at positions 30 to 507 of the family's 1533-position model. The record is from RNAcentral.
AUUGAACGCUGGCGGCAUGCCUUACACAUGCAAGUCGAACGGCAGCACGGGUGCUUGCACCUGGUGUCGAGUGGCGAACGGGUGAGUAAUACAUCGGAACAUGUCCUGUAGUGGGGGAUAGCCCGGCGAAAGCCGGAUUAAUACCGCAUACGAUCUACGGAUGAAAGCGGGGGACCUUCGGGCCUCGCGCUAUAGGGUUGGCCGAUGGCGGAUUAGCUAGUUGGUGGGGUAAAGGCCUACCAAGGCGACGAUCAGUAGCUGGUCUGAGAGGACGACCAGCCACACUGGGACUGAGACACGGCCCAGACUCCUACGGGAGGCAGCAGUGGGGAAUUUUGGACAAUGGGCGAAAGCCUGAUCCAGCAAUGCCGCGUGUGUGAAGAAGGCCUUCGGGUUGUAAAGCACUUUUGUCCGGAAAGAAAUCCUUGGCUCUAAUACAGUCGGGGGAUGACGGUACCGGAAGAAUAAGCACCGGCUAACUACGUG